Molecule: ribosomal RNA, 253 nt
Filed under: uncultured bacterium
Lineage: Bacteria
Description: partial 16S ribosomal RNA
Rfam family: Bacterial small subunit ribosomal RNA
Source: RNAcentral
GACAGAGGGUGCAAACGUUGUUCGGAUUUACUGGGUGUAAAGCGCGUGUAGGCGGCUUGGCAAGUUGGAUGUGAAAGCCCACGGCUCAACCGUGGAAGCGCAUCCAAAACUGCUUCGCUCGAGUCUCGGAGAGGAAGGUGGAAUGCUUGGUGUAGAGGUGAAAUUCGUAGAUAUCAAGCAGAACACCUGCGGCGAAGGCGGCCUUCUGGACGAUGACUGACGCUGAGACGCGAAAGCGUGGGGAGCAAACAGG